This 253-nucleotide ribosomal RNA is filed under the name uncultured bacterium. RNAcentral describes it as "partial 16S ribosomal RNA". It matches the Rfam family "Bacterial small subunit ribosomal RNA", at positions 524 to 776 of the family's 1533-position model. The record is from RNAcentral.
UACGUAGGGGGCAAGCGUUGUCCGGAUUUAUUGGGCGUAAAGAGCGUGUAGGCGGCCAGGCAGGUCCGCUGUGAAAACUCGAGGCUCAACCUCGAGAGGUCGGUGGAAACCGUUUGGCUAGAGUCCGGAAGAGGAGAGUGGAAUUCCUGGUGUAGCGGUGAAAUGCGCAGAUAUCAGGAAGAACACCAAUGGCGAAGGCAGCUCUCUGGGACGGUACUGACGCUGAGACGCGAAAGCGUGGGGAGCGAACAGG